CCAGCUCAAGCCGCGGGAACUGGGUGGGGGUGAGGGCAGGGUGUCCAUGGAGGUGCUCCCCUGGCGCGACCUUGCGCCUCGCGGUGCUCCCCACUGAGCCUGCGCAGCUGCGUAGUUGGUCCCCAGCCGCAGGCCCGCGUCCUUCGUGUUCUAUAGGGAUGGUCCUGCUGCCCCCGACCCCUGCAGUGUCCUCCGUUGCCGUGGGUACGCGCCGCCCUUUUCCUUAGCCCCUCCCUGCCUCAUUCACACGCCCAGACGCUCAGGGUCGCCAGGGUCUCAGACACAGGAAUCUGGGGAAAGAACUGUUCUGCACACUCCUCACCCCUGUCCAUUCUCUGGCCAGCAGGUCCUCUUUACAACCCCAUGGACCUUGUCCAGUAGGGCCUGGCAGGGAGGCGGUGCGCAUCUCACGUACCUACGCACUGGCCCGGCGGCCCUUCCUUGGGGGACAACGCGUCCAAGCUGGAAUCACUGUUGGCUGUAUGGAAGUUUCUCGGCUGCCCCCACUCUGAAUCCAGGUGGUUUGGACAAGUGCGGAUGCGUGACUCAGGGUGGAAUGUGAAGUGGCCAGGAGAGCUGCGCCUCAGGGGAUUUCUGUGGAAAGAGUACUGAGUGACUGGGUCCUACCCUGUGGGAGCAGGGCAGGGACUGUUCUCCCUCACCUCAAGACCGGGGAGGGCUUCAAGGAGUCUACCUGGCUGGAGGACACAGUGGGCUGGGCCUCCCUCAAGAAGGAUGGAGACUGCAGAGCAGGAGGAUUUAAGCCAUUGGUGAGUGAAUCCUGGAUUCACCAGGACCUGGGCUUGUGUGUGUGUGUGUGGGGGGGUUGUUGAGGGUGGAGGAUACUAUACGGUAAGUCUGUUUCAGGGUGGGCUCCCUUGGGGCCGCUGAGGCUGGUUUCUGGGCUGCCCCCUCUCUGUGGCUGCUUGAGAGCUUUGAGCACUUCCCACCUACCCCGACUCCCGACCUCAGGAGGGGCUUUUCCUGCUGUGAACUUGGCAAGGGCAGAUGAAGCAGAUGCAGUGCCCAUCCCUCCUACAUCUGGGAUGUGGGAUGGCACCCAUGU
Molecule: long non-coding RNA, 1066 nt
Filed under: Ursus americanus (American black bear)
Lineage: Eukaryota; Metazoa; Chordata; Mammalia; Carnivora; Ursidae
Description: lncRNA (ENSUAMG00000019478.1)
Source: RNAcentral